RNAcentral lists this unclassified non-coding RNA (370 nucleotides) under soil metagenome. RNAcentral's name for it is "partial contains 5.8S ribosomal RNA, internal transcribed spacer 2, and large subunit ribosomal RNA". The stretch from base 1 to 120 matches the Rfam family "5.8S ribosomal RNA", at positions 35 to 154 of the family's 154-position model. The record is from RNAcentral.
GAUGAAGAACGCAGCGAAAUGCGAUAAGUAAUGUGAAUUGCAGAAUUCAGUGAACCAUCGAAUCUUUGAACGCACAUUGCGCCCGGCAGUAAUCUGCCGGGCAUGCCUGUCCGAGCGUCAUUUCUACCAUCGAGCGAGUCCAGCAUCUAGGUGCUGGGCCUCGCCCGGCGUUGGAGCACUACGGGAAGCCCUGUGCUGUCCCCCGUAGGCCCCGAAAUGAAGUGGCGGUCCUGCCGCGGCGCCCCCUGCGUAGUAUAACAGCUCGCUUCGGGACCCGGUGGAGGCCUGCCGUCAAACCUAUACUCUCUAAGUUUGACCUCGGAUCAGGUAGGGUUACCCGCUGAACUUAAGCAUAUCAAUAAGCGGAGGA